AGGGGACUGAUUGAAACAUUUUGCUUCAGUGGUGACUGUGGUUGCGUGAAGCUUGAAAGUUCAAGGAUAAUUUCUCUGCUCAUUAAAACUUCCGCGAAUGAAGGACUUCAACAAAGAUAGUUGUCACAAAUCUUAUAGCAAAGAGUGCUCCCAUUAGCUCUUAAAAUGUCCUAAGCAGUAUCUGUUCAUCUUAACAGGUUUUGCUUUCUCCUUUUUUUAGUGGUUACUUAUAAUGAUCUGCUUCUCCAUUCUUCCAAUUAGGAAACGUGUGCCAAACUGACUUUUUACCAUUUCCUGUGUUUCAGAUUCAUGUUUGAAACACUAGCAUGUUACUUGUGUUGGAUGUGUUUAAGUGUCAUCAUUGGCAAGGGAAAUUGCACUCCGUAAACUCAUUUGCAUUUGGCUGAAUCUGGAUUGGAGAUAUUACUUCCCUGUAUGUGGAGAUCCCGGAAAAGGGUCACGAGUGAUUGUCAAUUGAGCUUUUCGCGUAUGCUGAAAUGAGAGUCCAAUGGUCCAGUCGGAACACCCAGCCCACAGCUCCUGAAAUUCUAAACUGAAUUAACCUGGCAGUGUUGAAUAGCAUUCAAAGUAGAAAGAGCAACUUAUGCCAGUUACUUUGCUACAUUUCUCUACCAUGGUUGUAUUUUGUGUAUAGAGCAACUUGUGUCUUGCAUUUUUAUUUUAUUGUUUUGAUGUCAGAAAUACUUUCAGCAAGACAAUAUUACAUGGUGUUAGGGUUACAACGUAACUUGUUAUCCAAAUCGACAAAUAAAAUAAUUUUUAUAAUA
This is a long non-coding RNA of Solanum stenotomum, 788 nucleotides long. RefSeq lists it as uncharacterized. The record is from RefSeq and is a predicted model, not a curated record. The transcript is spliced from 2 exons. NCBI's taxonomy places the organism in Eukaryota, Viridiplantae, Streptophyta, Magnoliopsida, Solanales, Solanaceae.